CUGACGUUUACUUAUAUUUUGCAUCUCAGAAGGGCAGAUACACUCAUGAAUCUCAACCGACUUGCAUAGGAGUAAAAAGAUUGUUCACUGACGGAGGUAAAAUGAUUCUUAAUCUUUCGUGAGGUUUUCCUUUAUUGUUAGACUAUUUAUCAGAUUUUUGGCUUCUACAUAAUUUACCAAAACCAUAACUGGCAGAUGGUUUUAUACUUGACCGAAUUGUUAAAAUUAUUUCAUUACGAGGCUGAAAAAGCUGGAGUGUUCCGUUUGCUUCCAGUACAUUCUUCCAACCCAGUUCCAGUUCUCUCUCGCCAGUUUCCAAGAAGCAUAGCGUAGAUGGUAUGCUCACAGAACUUGCCUGCUUGCUUCUUCAUAUACCUUCCGUGCAAUGUUUGAUGGUGGUAUGAUUUUCCAAUUUCUCGUUUGCAGCAUUUUCUUUUUGGUUUUCGUCGUGUAUGCACUACAAAAGUAACACAGCGGGAGUAGGUUUAGAGGGUAAAGAAAUUUCUUCAUGUAAUGAGAAGUGAGGGUUUUUGCUUAACCACUUUUAUUUACUGGUUUUUUAGUCAAGUUUAUAGCACCGAGGAUAUAGGUGAACGGUGAAGCAAUUUGGGUAACAUGUUAUGAGAAGUAUACUAAAUGGUUUUUCCUUUUUUUUUUUGUUUUGUUAGAGAUUAAAGAUGUAAGUGUACCAAAUUGGAAGCUCAAAUAUUGAACAACAUGAUUUACUUCAUUUGUUAGUUGGUAAAGACUUCGUCUCUCCUCAAAACCCAUUGUAUUCCUUCGGCUCUUUUUUCUUGGUGAGAAUUGGAAUUUUUAUUUAUGUUU
Malus domestica (apple) is the source of this 825-nucleotide non-coding RNA. The record is from RefSeq and is a predicted model, not a curated record. Lineage: Eukaryota; Viridiplantae; Streptophyta; Magnoliopsida; Rosales; Rosaceae.